RNAcentral lists this ribosomal RNA (440 nucleotides) under uncultured bacterium. Its description in RNAcentral is "partial 16S ribosomal RNA". It matches the Rfam family "Bacterial small subunit ribosomal RNA", at positions 338 to 795 of the family's 1533-position model. The record is from RNAcentral.
CCUACGGGUGGCAGCAGUGGGGAAUAUUGCACAGUGGGGGAAACCCUGAUGCAGCGACGCCGCGUGAGCGAAGAAGGUUUUCGGAUUGAAAAGCUCUUUCGGAUGUGACGAUGAUGACGGUAGCAUCUAAAGAAGCCCCGGCUAACUUCGUGCCAGCAGCCGCGGUAAUACGAAGGGGGCAAGCGUUGUUCGGAAUUACUGGGCGUAAAGGGAGUGUAGGCGGUUUAGUAAGAUAGUGGUGAAAUCCCAGGGCUUAACUUUGGAAUUGCCAUUAUAACUAUUAGACUAGAAUUACAGAGAGGAUAGUGGAAUACCCAGUGUAGAGGUGAAAGUCGUAGAUAUUGGGUAGAACACCAGUGGCGAAGGCGACUAUCUGGCUGUACAUUGACGCUGAGGCUCGAAAGCAUGGGGAUCAAACAGGAUUAGAUACCCCUGUAGUC